AUGGCGAGAGCCUUUCGCGCGGCAUCCCCGCUGCCCCUCCCCUCUUCCAGCUCCAGGAGCGCCACCGCACCGAGCGGCGGCGGUGGCAGCGGGAGCUUCACUUGGCUGCUCAAGAAGCGCUCCAGCAAGGCGCCGCAGCGCAGCGGGCCGAGCGGCCAAGAGGCGGAGGACGAGGGAGACGAGGAGGAGGCUGGAGCAGCCGCUCUGUCCUCCGCGCACUCGUCUUCCACCGGCGAGCAGUCCUCCUCUUCCUCCUCGUCGUCGAGGAAGAAGCGCGCGGACGCGCUGGCGCGUCUGCGGUCGGUGUUCCUGGCGGCGAUCACGCACCGGCGCCGGCGCCGGCAGCUCGGGUCGUGCGUCACGGGCACCAUCUUCGGGCGCCGGCGCGGGCGCGUGCACGUGGCGCUGCAGACGGACCCGCGAUCGGCGCCGGUGCUGCUGGUGGAGAUGGCCGCCUACUCCACCGGCGCGCUCGUCAGGGAGAUGUCCUCGGGCCUCGUGCGCCUCGCGCUCGAGUGCGAGAAGCCGCCGCUCAACGCAGGGGAGAAGCGGCGGCCGCUGCUGGAGGAGCCGACGUGGCGCGCGUACUGCAACGGGCUCAAGUGCGGCUACGCGGUGCACCGCGAGUGCGGCGCCGACGAGUGGCGCGUGCUGGGCGCCGUGGAGCAGGUGUCCGUCGGCGCCGGCGUGCUCCCGGACGACGGUGCCGCCGGGGCCGCAGGCGGCGCCGGCGAGGGCGAUCUGAUGUACAUGCGCGCCAAGUUCGAGCGGGUCGUCGGAUCGAGGGACUCGGAGGCGUUCUACAUGAUGAACCCCGACGGCAGCGGAGGACCCGAGCUCAGCAUCUACCUGCUCAGAGUCUGA
Molecule: ribosomal RNA, 864 nt
Filed under: Triticum aestivum (bread wheat)
Lineage: Eukaryota; Viridiplantae; Streptophyta; Magnoliopsida; Poales; Poaceae
Description: partial small subunit ribosomal RNA
Source: RNAcentral